AGGAUGAACGCUAGCGGCAGGCUUAAUACAUGCAAGUCGUGGGGCAGCAUGAGUAGCAAUACUUGAUGGCGACCGGCAAACGGGUGAGGAACACGUACACAACCUUCCUCAAGCGGGGAAUAGCCCAGAGUAAAUUUGGAUUAAUACCCCAUAAUAUAUUUGAUAAGGCAUCUUAUUAAUAUUAAAGCUUCGGCACUUGAUGAUGGGUGUGCGGCUGAUUAGAUAGUUGGCGGGGUAACGGCCCACCAAGUCUACGAUCAGUAGCUGAUGUGAGAGCAUGAUCAGCCACACGGGCACUGAGACACGGGCCCGACUCCUACGGGAGGCAGCAGUAAGGAAUAUUGGACAAUGGACGAAAGUCUGAUCCAGCCAUGCCGCGUGAAGGAUUAAGGUCCUCUGGAUUGUAAACUUCUUUUAUAUGGGACGAAAAAAGGGCAUUCUUGUUCACUUGACGGUACCAUAUGAAUAAGCACCGGCUAACUCCGUG
RNAcentral lists this ribosomal RNA (487 nucleotides) under uncultured bacterium. RNAcentral's name for it is "bacterial SSU rRNA". It matches the Rfam family "Bacterial small subunit ribosomal RNA", at positions 26 to 507 of the family's 1533-position model. The record is from RNAcentral.